AAUAGAUACCCAGGUAGUCCACGCCCUAAACGAUGAUAACUCGAUGUUAGCGAUAUACCGUUAGCGUCCAAGCGAAAGCGUUAAGUUAUCCACCUGGGGAGUACGCCCGCAAGGGUGAAACUCAAAGGAAUUGACGGGGGCCCGCACAAGCGGAGGAGCAUGUGGUUUAAUUCGAUGAUACGCGAGGAACCUUACCCGGGCUUGAAAGUUACUGAAGAAUGCAGAGACGCAUUCGUCCUUCGGGACAGGAAACUAGGUGCUGCAUGGCUGUCGUCAGCUUGUGCCGUGAGGUGUUGGGUUAAGUCCCGCAACGAGCGCAACCCUAUGUUUAGUUGCCAGCACGUCAAGGUGGGGACUCUAGACAGACUGCCUGCGUAAGCAGAGAGGAAGGUGGGGGCGACGUCAAGUCAUCAUGGCCCUUACGUCCGGGGCUACACACGUGCUACAAUGGACGGUACAGCGGGCAGCUACACAGCAAUGUGAUGCUAAUCUCGAAAAGCCGUUCACAGUUCGGAUCGGGGUCUGCAACCG
Molecule: ribosomal RNA, 531 nt
Filed under: uncultured bacterium
Lineage: Bacteria
Description: bacterial SSU rRNA
Rfam family: Bacterial small subunit ribosomal RNA
Source: RNAcentral